AACAAAGCUGGUCUAACAAUUGACCGAACACAGGGCUACAUUGGUGUUCUAGUGGACGACUCAAUUAACCAUAUCUUAUGUUUACCCGUCGUGCAGAGUACAGGAUGAGUUUACGACCGAAUAAUGGUGACUUCUAGGCCUACAGUAAAGUGGAUAUGUCCGUAAUUCUAAGCGAAUGAACAAGUUGACUGUCACAUGACAUACACAAAUCCAAAGGUAGACAAAAUUGUCGCGGAAACCAUUGACAAGAAUCGCCAUGUCAUGGAAGAGAUAAAUGGUCCAAGGUAUUGUCCCUCCUUGGAGUCGAAAGUCUUGAGGUUCAAAGGUCGCUCACAUCAAAUAUGGCUGGAACCUGAAGGUUUGUGUACAUCAUGUAAUACUCUAAUGUACACAGAAAUGAAAUGAUAGAUGUCAAUAUGUAUCAAUGAAUUGUCAAAUUCUUCAACAGAGUUUCAGCUCAGAGGUUGAAUAUAUUUGAUUCAAUUUUUAAAUUACUAUAAAUAAUAUUACAAUAAUAAUCAAUCAAUUUGAACAUCAAACUGCGUUUUGUUCUGAUGGUACAGUAUUAAACAAUCAGUCAUGAAGAUUACAGACAAAUUAUAGUGCAUUGUCAUUACAGUGGUAAUUGUCUCCAGUUCUAUUAAGAAUUUUGGGAUUGAAAUUUUUUUUUUUUAAAUCAACUUCAUCUUACAACAAUAACAACAUUAUGAAACAAUAAGCAUCGAUAGUGUAAACAUGCAUAUUUAAGCGGUAAUCCUAUUCUAUUUACAGCUACAUGUAGCACUUUUUGCAAUAGAAGCUUUGUGCUUAUUAAAGUAUGAUUGUGCUGUUCUACUUUCUAUAUACAUGUACUAUGUACUAUUUCUAUGAAAAAAUAAUUUGGAAGCACCAAUUCAUAAUUAUGUUAAAUUGUUUACACCUUUACAUCCUACGACAAUCUAUUUUCGGUAGGAGUGUAUAUUUUUGAUUUUCCAAACCUCAAGACCCUAUUCUUUAUUCUCGUAUACAGAAAGUACCCAUUUCUUAUGUUAUUUACUCUGGAGAAACAGCUACAAACACAAGAAACACAUUUCCCUCAAGGACUUGGUUCAGGUGAAACACCAGCUGAUUGGCUGAUUUAGUUGUGCGAGUCCUUUAAAUUGCCCUGGUUCAAGAGAAUGGUUUAGAUAAAAUGCAUUAUUGGGCAAAGGAGACCCAAUGUAUAAAUGAGGAGAUGCAUUUCCCCAGAGGCCAUUAAUAAGAGAGGGGGCCCAAUAGAGAAAAUAUUGCAAAUAACUUUUAAAAUCCUUCUUCUUAAAAAAUGAUAGGAUUUGGUCCCAAUUUUUUUAUAUAAUCUAGAAAUGUGAGUUUCCCAUCAAAAACUCCUAUUUCAUUGGUUAUUUCUGACUAAUAGGAUGCAAAAAAUGUAAUUCAAUAUGUUAUCAAUAUUGGACAUCUAUUAUCAAUGCGACAGGAAAAUGUGGACAAUAUUUGUUUUUUUAUGGUCAUAAAAACUAGGCAUGAAGUCACAGGUACAUGCUCCCUUAAUACAACUAACUUCAAUUAUGAUACAUGAUACAAGGUGUGAAGUCACUGCUACAUGCUCCCUUAAUACAACUGAUUUAAGUAAUGAUACAUAAUACAAGGUGUGAAGCCACUGGUACAUACUCCCUUAACACAACUGAUUUAAGUAUCUAUGAUACAUUGUACCCAAUACAAGGUGUGAAGUCACUGGUACAUACUCCCUUAAUACAACUGACUUCAGUAAUGAUACAUAAUACAAGGUGUGAAUAUUCGAAGCCACUGGUACAUACUCCCUUAACACAACUGAUUUAAGUAAUGAUACAUUGUACCCAAUACAAGGUGUGAAGCCACUGGUACAUACUCCCUUAAUACAACCGACUUCAGUAAUGAUACAUAAUACAAGGUGUGAAGCCACUGGUACAUACUCCCUUAACACAACUGAUUUAAGUAUCUAUGAUACAUUGUACCAAAUACAAGGUGUGAAGCCACUGGUACAUACUCCCUUAAUACAACUGAUUUAAGUAUCUAUGAUACAUGUACCCAAUACAAGGUGUGAAGCCACUGGUACAUACUCCCUUAAUACAACUGAUUUAAGUAAUGAUACAUUGUACCCAAUACAAGGUGUGAAGCCACUGGUACAUACUCCCUUAAUACAACUGACUUCAGUUAUGAUACAUAAUACAAGGUGUGAAGCCACAGGUACAUACUCCCUUAACACAACUGAUUUAAGUAAUGAUACAUAAUACAAGGUGUGAAGCCACUGGUACAUACUCCCUUAAUGCAACUGAUUUAAGUAUCUAUGAUACAUUGUACCCAAUACAAGGUGUGAAGUCACUGGUACAUACUCCCUUAAUACAACUGACUUCAGUAAUGAUACAUAAUACAAGGUGUGAAGCCACUGGUACAUACUCCCUUAAUGCAACUGAUUUAAGUAUCUAUGAUACAUUGUACCCAAUACAAGGUGUGAAGUCACAGGUACAUACUCCCUUAACACAACUGAUUUAAGUAAUGAUACAUUGUACCCAAUACAAGGUGUGAAGCCACUGGUACAUACUCCCUUAAUACAACUGACUUCAGUAAUGAUACAUAAUACAAGGUGUGAAGUCACUGGUACAUACUCCCUUAACACAACUGAUUUAAGUAUCUAUGAUACAUUGUACCAAAUACAAGGUGUGAAGCCACUGGUACAUACUCCCUUAAUACAACUGAUUUAAGUAUCUAUGAUACAUGUACCCAAUACAAGGUGUGAAGCCACUGGUACAUACUCCCUUAAUACAACUGAUUUAAGUAAUGAUACAUUGUACCCAAUACAAGGUGUGAAGCCACUGGUACAUACUCCCUUAAUACAACUGACUUCAGUUAUGAUACAUAAUACAAGGUGUGAAGCCACAGGUACAUACUCCCUUAACACAACUGAUUUAAGUAAUGAUACAUAAUACAAGGUGUGAAGCCACUGGUACAUACUCCCUUAAUGCAACUGAUUUAAGUAAUGAUACAUUGUACCCAAUACAAGGUGUGACGCCACUGGUACAUACUCCCUUAACACAACUGAUUUAAGUUAUGAUACAUUGUACCCAAUACAAGGUGUGAAGCCACUGGUACAUACUCCCUUAACACAACUGAUUUAAGUAAUGAUACAUUGUACCCAAUACAAGGUGUGAAGUCACUGGUACAUACUCCCUUCACACAACUGAUUUAAGUAAUGAUACAUUGUACCCAAUAAAAGGUGUGAAGCCACUGGUACAUACUCCCUUAAUACAACUGACUUCAGUAAUGAUACAUAAUACAAGGUGUGAAGCCACUGGUACAUACUCCCUUAACACAACUGAUUUAAGUAUCUAUGAUACAUUGUACCAAAUACAAGGUGUGAAGCCACUGGUACAUACUCCCUUAAUACAACUGAUUUAAGUAUCUAUGAUACAUGUACCCAAUACAAGGUGUGAAGCCACUGGUACAUACUCCCUUAAUACAACUGAUUUAAGUAAUGAUACAUUGUACCCAAUACAAGGUGUGAAGCCACUGGUACAUACUCCCUUAACACAACUGAUUUAAGUAAUGAUACAUAAUACAAGGUGUGAAGCCACUGGUACAUACUCCCUUAAUGCAACUGAUUUAAGUAAUGAUACAUUGUACCCAAUACAAGGUGUGACGCCACUGGUACAUACUCCCUUAACACAACUGAUUUAAGUUAUGAUACAUUGUACCCAAUACAAGGUGUGAAGCCACUGGUACAUACUCCCUUAACACAACUGAUUUAAGUAAUGAUACAUUGUACCCAAUACAAGGUGUGAAGUCACUGGUACAUACUCCCUUAACACAACUGAUUUAAGUAAUGAUACAUUGUACCCAAUACAAGGUGUGAAGCCACAGGUACAUACUCCCUUAACACAACUGAUUUAAGUAAUGAUACAUUGUACCCAAUACAAGGUGUGAAGCCACUGGUACAUACUCCCUUAACACAACUGACUUCAGUAAUGAUACAUUGUACCCAAUACAAGGUGUGAAGCCACUGGUACAUACUCCCU
Pecten maximus is the source of this 4028-nucleotide long non-coding RNA. RefSeq lists it as uncharacterized. The transcript is spliced from 4 exons. Lineage: Eukaryota; Metazoa; Mollusca; Bivalvia; Pectinida; Pectinidae. The record is from RefSeq and is a predicted model, not a curated record.